UAAUGCCGGAUGCUCCAUCACACCGCAUGGUGUUUUGGGAAAGCCUUUGCGGCAUGGGAUGGGGUCGCGUCCUAUCAGCUUGAUGGCGGGGUAACGGCCCACCAUGGCUUCGACGGGUAGCCGGCCUGAGAGGGCGACCGGCCACAUUGGGACUGAGAUACGGCCCAGACUCCUACGGGAGGCAGCAGUGGGGAAUAUUGCACAAUGGGCGCAAGCCUGAUGCAGCGACGCCGCGUGAGGGAUGGAGGCCUUCGGGUUGUAAACCUCUUUUGUUAGGGAGCAAGGCAUUUUGUGUUGAGUGUACCUUUCGAAUAAGCACCGGCUAACUACGUGCCAGCAGCCGCGGUAAUACGUAGGGUGCAAGCGUUAUCCGGAAUUAUUGGGCGUAAAGGGCUCGUAGGCGGUUCGUCGCGUCCGGUGUGAAAGUCCAUCGCUUAACGGUGGAUCCGCGCCGGGUACGGGCGGGCUUGAGUGCGGUAGGGGAGACUGGAAUUCCCGGUGUAACGGUGGAAUGUGUAGAUAUCGGAAAAGAACA
This 535-nucleotide ribosomal RNA is filed under the name Bifidobacterium breve. Its description in RNAcentral is "bacterial SSU rRNA". It matches the Rfam family "Bacterial small subunit ribosomal RNA", at positions 164 to 708 of the family's 1533-position model. The record is from RNAcentral. Lineage: Bacteria; Bacillati; Actinomycetota; Actinomycetes; Bifidobacteriales; Bifidobacteriaceae.